CAAUGCCCUUGGAAAUCCCAAA
RNAcentral lists this microRNA (22 nucleotides) under Limulus polyphemus (Atlantic horseshoe crab). RNAcentral's name for it is "Lpo-Mir-193-P2n_3p (mature (guide))". The record is from RNAcentral. RNAcentral also lists the same sequence under 5 other names. Lineage: Eukaryota; Metazoa; Arthropoda; Merostomata; Xiphosura; Limulidae.